UUAUGUGGCCAAGUCCGGUAGUGGUCUCUCUGAAACCCCUUCUCCCCUCCUCCUUCCCUCCAAAAUCCCUCCUUCACUCACCAAUCCCCAAACGUGUCUCUCUCGUCUUCCUCCACAUCGCCGGCACGAUCUUCUACCUUACGGGCUUCUAAUCUGCUCAACAAUGCCGGUAUUGAGGCCUAUUAUUCCUUUUGCUGCAUGCCCGAUAGGCGUCUUUGGGUAGCUGUUCUUCUCAUCGGUGGCGUUGAUAGUAGUGUCGCCCUCCGCCUCUGGCAUGCCGCUGGCCACCAGUGCACUGCCUUCUACCUCAAAAUCUGGUUCCAAGUACUGUCUCUCUCCCUGUAUUUUUGCUAUCUUUGAAAUUCCGGCUCUUUGCCUAAGAAAAUAAAGCCCAGCCAUGGCCCAGGGGAACAAGAUUUGAAGUAUGCCAGUGCUGUUUGUGAUCAGGCUGAUGUACUAUUGGAAGUUGUUCAUUUGACUGAUGAAUAUUGGGAAAAUGAGCCUUUUGCCAGGGAAGAACCUGCAUUGGCUCUGGUGUGAUCUGUA
Molecule: long non-coding RNA, 546 nt
Organism: Hevea brasiliensis (rubber tree)
Lineage: Eukaryota; Viridiplantae; Streptophyta; Magnoliopsida; Malpighiales; Euphorbiaceae
Exons: 3
Source: RefSeq, a predicted model, not a curated record